This 392-nucleotide ribosomal RNA is filed under the name uncultured soil bacterium. RNAcentral's name for it is "bacterial SSU rRNA". It matches the Rfam family "Bacterial small subunit ribosomal RNA", at positions 26 to 447 of the family's 1533-position model. The record is from RNAcentral.
AGAACGAACGCUGGCGGCAGGCCUAAUACAUGCAAGUCGAACGCACUCUUCGGAGUGAGUGGCAGACGGGUGAGUAACGCGUGGGAACCUUCCCAAUGGUACGGAAUAACUCCGGGAAACCGGUGCUAAUACCGUAUAAGCCCCUGGGGGAAAGAUUUAUCGCCAUUGGAUGGGCCCGCGUCGGAUUAGCUAGUUGGUAAGGUAAUGGCUUACCAAGGCUACGAUCCGUAGCUGGUCUGAGAGGAUGAUCAGCCACACUGGGACUGAGAUACGGCCCAGACUCCUAGGGAGGCAGCAGUAGGGAAUCUUGGACAAGUGGCGAAAGCCUGAUCCAGCCAUGCCGACGUGAGUGAAGAAGGCCUUAAGGGUGUAAAGCUUCGUUUUGGCGGGAC